AUACCUGCAAGAGAAUAUUGGCAAUGGAGACUUCUCUGUGUACAGUGCCAGCACCCACAAGUUCUUGUACUAUGAUGAGAAGAAGAUGGCCAAUUUCCAGAACUUUAAGCCGAGGUCCAACAGGGAAGAAAUGAAAUUUCAUGAGUUCGUUGAGAAACUGCAGGAUAUACAGCAGCGAGGAGGGGAAGAGAGGUUGUAUCUGCAGCAAACGCUCAAUGACACUGUGGGCAGGAAGAUUGUCAUGGACUUCUUGGGUUUUAACUGGAACUGGAUUAAUAAGCAACAGGGAAAGCGUGGCUGGGGGCAGCUUACCUCUAACCUGCUGCUCAUUGGCAUGGAAGGAAAUGUGACACCUGCUCACUAUGAUGAGCAGCAGAACUUUUUUGCUCAGAUAAAAGGUUACAAACGAUGCAUCUUAUUCCCUCCGGAUCAGUUCGAGUGCCUCUACCCAUACCCUGUUCAUCACCCAUGUGACAGACAGAGCCAGGUGAGCUUGUGUGGUCUGAGAAGGGUAUAGAACUCUAGAUUCUAGUAAUGCCUAGGCUGGAAUGUCUUUCCCCUUCCCCGUAGUGAUAUGCCAGGUUCGGAUUACAGGCUGUUCUUGCCUUAACACACCAAGAGGGUAAUUUCAUUGUAGCUCACAUAUUCCAGGCUCCCUGGAGUGGCCACCAGAUGUUUGUAAGUAUAACUAGCCCCACAGAGCUAAUUCUCAGGACAGACACUGUCAUUGAUGCUGAUGGACUCUGGUUACUCUGUUUGAUUGGCUUAUAAGUUUAUGGAACAAAAUGUGUAUGUCUCCAUUGGAUUUAAUCAUUGUUUGCUUUUGUCAUGGAUGCUAUUUCUUUUUGAUAAGAAGGGUGAAUAAAACUGAGCUAUGUUAUUUAAUGU
Molecule: small RNA, 888 nt
Filed under: Pan troglodytes (chimpanzee)
Lineage: Eukaryota; Metazoa; Chordata; Mammalia; Primates; Hominidae
Description: retained intron
Source: RNAcentral